ACAUUUUGGCUUUUAUUUUAUUUUUUUAUUUUUUUUUAUUUCAUCGUGUGUAGGCAGUACUACAGUACAGAUGGAGUCAGACUGGGAGUUCAGAGUGGACCGCCGUCUGUGUUGUGUGCAGCACACAUGCAUGCGUCGGCUGCAGCAGACUGAAUGAUGGGUUUGAGCGGGACAUCAGGACGUCGGGUCGCUGUCGACAGUCUCCGGGGCUGGAGUGAUGAUGCCACAGGUUCUACUUUUGGUUUUGUGACAAUGAUGAUGACAACACCAGAAAAGACGAAGGGAGUGAAGAGGAAGAGGAGUUGUAAUGGAAGACCAUCAAAGACUGAGAUGGAAGAGUCUAAGAGCAGACAGGAUGGACAGCAGCACUUUAUGGCAGGAGUGAGGAGGAGAUGAGGGGUGAGGGGCUGUAAAGGAGCAUCUGCCGAGGGAGAAGGAGGAGGAAGAGGAAGAGGAGGAGGAGACAGAGUUCCUGUAACGUGGCUGGUCACACGUUAGCUCUUUCCUGAUUCGGCGCCCGGACCGGUAGUUGGAAUGAACAGGGGAGACGUAGUGAUCUGCUCCAGGAGGCAAGCUAACAUUAGCUCCGGUUCAUUGCUCCACGUUGUGCUUGUCCGCAGCAAAGCACUUUUUGAAUGGAGGUCCAUCUGUCUGUCCGACUGCUGUAAACUCUUCCUGCUGCUGCUCCUCCUCCUGCUCCUGCUCCUCGUUCUCCUCCUGGAGCCUCAUGUUUCCCGGUAAAUAUUUGAGAUUAAAGAUUUAGUAAUGUAUUUAAAAGAAGUGAAACUUGAAGGGUUUUUUUUUUUAAUCUGUGUGUGUAAUGUUAACAUGAGUUUAAACCUAUAUAUAAAAGUAAACAUAACAUUUCUGGAAUCAGAGCCUUAAAGGACGCAACAUCAUACAUUUCUAGUGAUUUACUUUUUUAGAUAUAUAAAUCUAUUUAUAAU
Molecule: long non-coding RNA, 947 nt
Organism: Cynoglossus semilaevis (tongue sole)
Lineage: Eukaryota; Metazoa; Chordata; Actinopteri; Pleuronectiformes; Cynoglossidae
Exons: 4
Source: RefSeq, a predicted model, not a curated record